RNAcentral lists this ribosomal RNA (787 nucleotides) under Verrucomicrobia bacterium SCGC AAA204-A11. RNAcentral describes it as "bacterial SSU rRNA". It matches the Rfam family "Bacterial small subunit ribosomal RNA", at positions 36 to 795 of the family's 1533-position model. Lineage: Bacteria; Pseudomonadati; Verrucomicrobiota. The record is from RNAcentral.
CUGGCGGCGUGGAUAAGACAUGCAAGUCGGACNCUAAUCACUGGGUAGCAAUAUCUGGUGGUUGGAGUGGCGUAAGGGUGCUUAACACGUGGGUAAUUUGCCGUGAAGCCUGGAAUAACCUGCCGAAAGGUANGCUAAUACCGGAUGAUGACCUUUGGGUGGCAUCACCUGAAUUUGAAAGCUGGGGACCGCAAGGNCUGGCNCUUCACGAUNAGCCCGCGGCCUAUCAGCUAGUUGGUGAGGUAACGGCUCACCAAGGCUNNGACGGGUAGCUGGUCUGAGAGGACGACCAGCCACACUGGAACUGAGACACGGUCCAGACACCUACGGGUGGCAGCAGUCGAGAAUUUUUCUCAAUGGGCGAAAGCCUGAAGGAGCGACGCCGCGUGGGGGAUGAAUGGCUUCGGCCCGUAAACCCCUGUCAUUCGGGAUCAAACGUUGUCNGUAAACAACUGGCAGCCUGAUUGUACCGGAAGAGGAAGGGACGGCUAACUCUGUGCCAGCAGCCGCGGUAAUACAGAGGUCCCAAGCGUUGUUCGGAUUCACUGGGCGUAAAGGGUGCGUAGGCGGUAGGGUAAGUUUGAGGUGAAAGCUCCGGGCUCAACCCGGAAAUGGCCUUGAAUACUAUCCUGCUAGAGGAUCGGAGGGGAGACUGGAAUUCUCGGUGUAGCAGUGAAAUGCGUAGAUCUCGAGAGGAACACCAGUGGCGAAGGCGAGUCUCUGGACGAUNCCUGACGCUGAGGCACGAAAGCCAGGGGAGCAAACGGGAUUAGAUACCCCGGUAGUC